UUCCUAUUACAAUUUACCUAUUUAAACUUCAAUCAAGUAGUGUUAAACUCAACUAAUUAUUAAGAGUUUUUGCAGGAGGACAGAGAAAAACCCAAAGUUGAAUUGGAAAUUCCGGCACUGUCAGGUGCUAAAAGCAAGAUAAAAAUCAGUCGAUUAACUAAGAUUCAGCAAAUUGAAGCUAAACUUAGAAUGAUGGAAGAGAGUUCAAAUGAGUUCCAGCCAAAAGAUGGACCGAGUGGAGUUGGUAACAGUCAUCCUGUACGAGCCUUUAGAGAAAAAAGUACAAAACCCUACAAAAGGCCUUCCCAACGCAGAUAACACACAGUUUUGCUUUUGCAUUUUAAAUUUAAGGAUAUAACAUAUGUAUUUUUAACAAGGAAUAAGUGUGUACUUUUCUUGAUGUAUUGUAUUAUUGUGUAAUUACAAAAUAAAGAUGAGUGAGUUUGUGUUGUACCAAAA
This is a long non-coding RNA of Homalodisca vitripennis (glassy-winged sharpshooter), 459 nucleotides long. RefSeq lists it as uncharacterized. The record is from RefSeq and is a predicted model, not a curated record. The transcript has 2 exons. Lineage: Eukaryota; Metazoa; Arthropoda; Insecta; Hemiptera; Cicadellidae.